ACGUAGGGUGCGAGCGUUAAUCGGAAUUACUGGGCGUAAAGCGUGCGCAGGCGGUAAUAUAAGACCGAUGGGAAAUCUCCGGGCUCAACCUGGGAACUGCAUUUGAGACUUUAUGACUAGAGUGUGGCAGAGGGGGGUGGACUUCCACGUGUAGCAGUGACAUUCGUAGAGAUGUGUAGGUACACCGAUUUUUUGGGCAGCCCCCUGGGCCAAUACUGACGCUCAUGCGCGAAAGCGUGGGGAGCAAACAG
This 251-nucleotide ribosomal RNA is filed under the name uncultured prokaryote. RNAcentral's name for it is "partial 16S rRNA". It matches the Rfam family "Bacterial small subunit ribosomal RNA", at positions 525 to 775 of the family's 1533-position model. The record is from RNAcentral.